RNAcentral lists this long non-coding RNA (1014 nucleotides) under Felis catus (domestic cat). RNAcentral's name for it is "lncRNA (ENSFCAG00000041920.2)". Lineage: Eukaryota; Metazoa; Chordata; Mammalia; Carnivora; Felidae. The record is from RNAcentral.
ACAGCUGGGAACAGAGGACCCUGGAGCCCAAAGUUGCAGGACAGGAGAGGGGCCUGGGGUCAGGGAGGUGGUAUUCACCCUUGGCCGGGAGGGGCUUCUCCCUUGGAUGGAAACCCAGCCUUCAUUUUAAUAAAAGGGCUACUAAUGCGUGUUAGGCUCUCUGGGGUGGGUUGUUCUGUAAUGAAAUGAAGACCUUGUUUAGCGCCUCUGGACAAGGCUUAUGCUUUCUUUAUGGAAUCUUCGGGCUUUAGAGCUGAACAGAACUCAAGCCAUCACUGUGCUCUCCCAGCCAUCCACCCAGGGGCCCUGGGUGCCAGGAGGUUCUGCAUUUAACCAGAAGAUUCUGCUGAAUGAAGAAUAUUCGACGUAUUCCUUUGUGUCUUCACAUGCCUCCAAGGUUGAAUUUCUGGGACUCAGAAAUACAGAUACAGCAGCAUCUCCCAUUUCACGGAUGAGGUCUUACCAGGAGCACAGUCUCAAGGACUUAACUUGUCUCCAGCUUGGUCUUGGAAAGAAAUAUUUUAUCCCCGGGUGCAAACACAGAAAACAGAUACGGGGAAAAGAUCUUGAACUGGAAUUGAUCCUUUGCUAACAUCCAUCCUGCUUCCAGGUUUAUGCAUCCAGAAAACAACAACUGCUUCUUUAUCGAGAGAAAGAAAUCUGAAGGCACUCUCAGAUUGCAGAUACGUGAGUGAAUUGUAUGUGUGUAAGAGAGUGGUGUGUAAUUCCAAAGAUUCUUUCUAGCUCCCCUACUUUCCACAACCCAUCAACAACUUAAGACUAUCAACAGCGUUUUCUUUCUUUUUUUAUAGGAAAAAACACCCCCAGAAUUUGUUCUGCUUGAAUUACAGAAAACAAAGAAGCUUCACGAUGAUUCUUUCCUAGGAGACUUUCCCAUCUUCAGAAAACACCUUUCUCCUGUUCAAAUGGACCAUUGUGUUCUGGGGUAACAGUAAAGACGGGCCCUUGAGUGUGUGUAAGCGAGUUGUGUGUAUGUGGAUGAUUUGUGGGUGU